UCGGGAGUCAGACUGCGAGUGAUAAGAUCCGUAGUCGAAAGGGAAACAGCCCAGACCACCAGUUAAGGUCCCCAAAUAUAUGUUAAGUGGAAAAGGAUGUGGGGUUGCUUAGACAACCAGGAUGUUGGCUUAGAAGCAGCCACCAUUGAAAGAGUGCGUAAUAGCUCACUGGUCGAGUGACCCCGCGCCGAAAAUGUACCGGGGCUAAACAUAUUACCGAAACUGUGGAUGAACCUCUUUAGAGGUUCGUGGUAGGAGAGCGUUCUAAGGGCGGUGAAGUCAGACCGGAAGGACUGGUGGAGCGC
This 305-nucleotide ribosomal RNA is filed under the name Listeria monocytogenes. RNAcentral's name for it is "partial 23S ribosomal RNA". It matches the Rfam family "Bacterial large subunit ribosomal RNA", at positions 977 to 1281 of the family's 2925-position model. Lineage: Bacteria; Bacillati; Bacillota; Bacilli; Caryophanales; Listeriaceae. The record is from RNAcentral.